GGUUAAGCGACUAAGCGUACACGGUGGAUGCCCUGGCAGUCAGAGGCGAUGAAGGACGUGCUAAUCUGCGAAAAGCGUCGGUAAGGUGAUAUGAACCGUUAUAACCGGCGAUGUCCGAAUGGGGAAACCCAGUGCAAUUCGUUGCACUAUCGUUAACUGAAUACAUAGGUUAACGAGGCGAACCGGGGGAACUGAAACAUCUAAGUACCCCGAGGAAAAGAAAUCAACCGAGAUUCCCCCAGUAGCGGCGAGCGAACGGGGAGCAGCCCAGAGUCUGAAUCAGCUUGUGUGUUAGUGGAACGGUCUGGAAAGUCCGACGGUACAGGGUGAUAGUCCCGUACACCAAAAUGCACAGGUUGUGAACUCGAAGAGUAGGGCGGGACACGUGGUAUCCUGUCUGAAUAUGGGGGGACCAUCCUCCAAGGCUAAAUACUCCUGACUGACCGAUAGUGAACCAGUACCGUGAGGGAAAGGCGAAAAGAACCCCGGCGAGGGGAGUGAAAAAGAACCUGAAACCGUGUACGUACAAGCAGUGGGAGCACCUUCGGGUGUGACUGCGUACCUUUUGUAUAAUGGGUCAGCGACUUAUAUUCUGUAGCAAGGUUAACCGUAUAGGGGAGCCGCAGGGAAACCGAGUCUUAACUGGGCGUUAAGUUGCAGGGUAUAGACCCGAAACCCGGUGAUCUAGCCAUGGGCAGGUUGAAGGUUGGGUAACACUAACUGGAGGACCGAACCGACUAAUGUUGAAAAAUUAGCGGAUGACUUGUGGCUGGGGGUGAAAGGCCAAUCAAACCGGGAGAUAGCUGGUUCUCCCCGAAAGCUAUUUAGGUAGCGCCUCGUGAAUUCAUCUUCGGGGGUAGAGCACUGUUUCGGCUAGGGGGUCAUCCCGACUUACCAACCCGAUGCAAACUACGAAUACCGAAGAAUGUUAUCACGGGAGACACACGGCGGGUGCUAACGUCCGUCGUGAAGAGGGAAACAACCCAGACCGCCAGCUAAGGUCCCAAAGUCAUGGUUAAGUGGGAAACGAUGUGGGAAGGCACAGACAGCCAGGAUGUUGGCUUAGAAGCAGCCAUCAUUUAAAGAAAGCGUAAUAGCUCACUGGUCGAGUCGGCCUGCGCGGAAGAUGUAACGGGGCUAAACCAUGCACCGAAGCUGCGGCAGCGACACUAUGUGUUGUUGGGUAGGGGAGCGUUCUGUAAGCCUGCGAAGGUGGCCUGUGAGGGUUGCUGGAGGUAUCAGAAGUGCGAAUGCUGACAUAAGUAACGAUAAAGCGGGUGAAAAGCCCGCUCGCCGGAAGACCAAGGGUUCCUGUCCAACGUUAAUCGGGGCAGGGUGAGUCGACCCCUAAGGCGAGGCCGAAAGGCGUAGUCGAUGGGAAACAGGUUAAUAUUCCUGUACUUGGUGUUACUGCGAAGGGGGGACGGAGAAGGCUAUGUUAGCCGGGCGACGGUUGUCCCGGUUUAAGCAUGUAGGCGGAGGUUCCAGGUAAAUCCGGUACCUUUUAACGCUGAGGUGUGAUGACGAGGCACUACGGUGCUGAAGUAACAAAUGCCCUGCUUCCAGGAAAAGCCUCUAAGCAUCAGGUAACAUUAAAUCGUACCCCAAACCGACACAGGUGGUCAGGUAGAGAAUACCAAGGCGCUUGAGAGAACUCGGGUGAAGGAACUAGGCAAAAUGGUGCCGUAACUUCGGGAGAAGGCACGCUGGUGUGUAGGUGAAGUCCCUGCGGACGGAGCUGAGACCAGUCGAAGAUACCAGCUGGCUGCAACUGUUUAUUAAAAACACAGCACUGUGCAAACACGAAAGUGGACGUAUACGGUGUGACGCCUGCCCGGUGCCGGAAGGUUAAUUGAUGGGGUUAUCCGUAAGGAGAAGCUCUUGAUCGAAGCCCCGGUAAACGGCGGCCGUAACUAUAACGGUCCUAAGGUAGCGAAAUUCCUUGUCGGGUAAGUUCCGACCUGCACGAAUGGCGUAAUGAUGGCCAGGCUGUCUCCACCCGAGACUCAGUGAAAUUGAACUCGCUGUGAAGAUGCAGUGUACCCGCGGCAAGACGGAAAGACCCCGUGAACCUUUACUAUAGCUUGACACUGAACAUUGAGCCUUGAUGUGUAGGAUAGGUGGGAGGCUUUGAAGCGUGGACGCCAGUCUGCGUGGAGCCAACCUUGAAAUACCACCCUUUAAUGUUUGAUGUUCUAACGUUGGCCCGUAAUCCGGGUUGCGGACAGUGUCUGGUGGGUAGUUUGACUGGGGCGGUCUCCUCCCAAAGAGUAACGGAGGAGCACGAAGGUUAGCUAAUCCUGGUCGGACAUCAGGAGGUUAGUGCAAUGGCAUAAGCUAGCUUGACUGCGAGCGUGACGGCGCGAGCAGGUGCGAAAGCAGGUCAUAGUGAUCCGGUGGUUCUGAAUGGAAGGGCCAUCGCUCAACGGAUAAAAGGUACUCCGGGGAUAACAGGCUGAUACCGCCCAAGAGUUCAUAUCGACGGCGGUGUUUGGCACCUCGAUGUCGGCUCAUCACAUCCUGGGGCUGAAGUAGGUCCCAAGGGUAUGGCUGUUCGCCAUUUAAAGUGGUACGCGAGCUGGGUUUAGAACGUCGUGAGACAGUUCGGUCCCUAUCUGCCGUGGGCGCUGGAGAAUUGAGGGGGGCUGCUCCUAGUACGAGAGGACCGGAGUGGACGCAUCACUGGUGUUCGGGUUGUCAUGCCAAUGGCACUGCCCGGUAGCUAAAUGCGGAAGAGAUAAGUGCUGAAAGCAUCUAAGCACGAAACUUGCCCCGAGAUGAGUUCUCCCUGAGACUUUAAGUCUCCUGAAGGAACGUUGAAGACGACGACGUUGAUAGGCCGGGUGUGUAAGCGCAGCGAUGCGUUGAGCUAACCGGUACUAAUGAACCGUGAGGCUUAACCUU
RNAcentral lists this ribosomal RNA (2904 nucleotides) under Klebsiella variicola. RNAcentral describes it as "23S ribosomal RNA". It matches the Rfam family "Bacterial large subunit ribosomal RNA". Lineage: Bacteria; Pseudomonadati; Pseudomonadota; Gammaproteobacteria; Enterobacterales; Enterobacteriaceae. The record is from RNAcentral.